UACGUAGGGUGCGAGCGUUAAUCGGAAUUACUGGGCGUAAAGCGUGCGCAGGCGGCGCCGCAAGUCAGGCGUGAAAUCCCCGAGCUUAACUUGGGAAUGGCGCUUGAAACUACGGUGCUGGAGUGUGGCAGAGGGAGGUGGAAUUCCACGUGUAGCGGUGAAAUGCGUAGAGAUGUGGAGGAACACCGAUGGCGAAGGCAGCCUCCUGGGCCAACACUGACGCUCAUGCACGAAAGCGUGGGGAGCAAACAGG
RNAcentral lists this ribosomal RNA (253 nucleotides) under uncultured bacterium. RNAcentral's name for it is "partial 16S ribosomal RNA". It matches the Rfam family "Bacterial small subunit ribosomal RNA", at positions 524 to 776 of the family's 1533-position model. RNAcentral also lists the same sequence under 2 other names. The record is from RNAcentral.